CGGGAUGUGGCCCAGGUGGUAGGGCGCCGGUCUUGGGAACCGGAAGCCGGGAGUUCGAGUCUCCCCAUCCCGA
Molecule: transfer RNA, 73 nt
Filed under: Paractinoplanes atraurantiacus
Lineage: Bacteria; Bacillati; Actinomycetota; Actinomycetes; Micromonosporales; Micromonosporaceae
Also listed under: 2 other names
Description: Actinoplanes sp. Y16 tRNA
Rfam family: tRNA
About the family: Transfer RNA (tRNA) molecules are approximately 80 nucleotides in length.
Source: Rfam by way of RNAcentral